RNAcentral lists this ribosomal RNA (253 nucleotides) under uncultured bacterium. RNAcentral describes it as "partial 16S ribosomal RNA". It matches the Rfam family "Bacterial small subunit ribosomal RNA", at positions 524 to 776 of the family's 1533-position model. The record is from RNAcentral.
UACGUAGGUGGCAAGCGUUGUCCGGAUUUAUUGGGUUUAAAGGGUGCGUAGGCGGCUAUCCAAGUCAGUGGUGAAAGCCCGGAGCUCAACUCCGGAACUGCCAUUGAAACUGUUUAGCUUGAGGACGAGAGAGGUGAGUGGAAUUCCCAGUGUAGAGGUGAAAUUCGUAGAUAUUGGGAAGAACACCAGUGGCGAAGGCGGCUCACUGGCUCGUAUCUGACGCUCAGGCGCGAUAGCGUGGGGAUCAAACAGG